CCCUACGGGGCGCAGCAGUGGGGAAUAUUGCACAAUGGGCGAAAGCCUGAUGCAGCGACGCCGCGUGAAGGAUGAAGUAUUUCGGUAUGUAAACUUCUAUCAGCAGGGAAGAAAAUGACGGUACCUGACUAAGAAGCCCCGGCUAACUACGUGCCAGCAGCCGCGGUAAUACGUAGGGGGCAAGCGUUAUCCGGAUUUACUGGGUGUAAAGGGAGCGUAGACGGCGAUGCAAGCCAGAUGUGAAAGCCCGGGGCUCAACCCCGGGACUGCAUUUGGAACUGUGUGGCUGGAGU
This 293-nucleotide ribosomal RNA is filed under the name uncultured bacterium. Its description in RNAcentral is "partial 16S ribosomal RNA". It matches the Rfam family "Bacterial small subunit ribosomal RNA", at positions 337 to 647 of the family's 1533-position model. The record is from RNAcentral.